GGCUCAGGACGAACGCUGGCGGCGUGCUUAACACAUGCAAGUCGAACGAAGCACCUUGACUUGAUUUCUUCGGAAUGAAAAAUUUGGUGACUGAGUGGCGGACGGGUGAGUAACGCGUGGGUAACCUGCCUCAUACAGGGGGAUAACAGUUAGAAAUGACUGCUAAUACCGCAUAAGACCACAGCACCGCAUGGUGCAGGGGUAAAAACUCCGGUGGUAUGAGAUGGACCCGCGUCUGAUUAGGUAGUUGGUGGGGUAACGGCCUACCAAGCCGACGAUCAGUAGCCGACCUGAGAGGGUGACCGGCCACAUUGGGACUGAGACACGGCCCAAACUCCUACGGGAGGCAGCAGUAGG
This 357-nucleotide ribosomal RNA is filed under the name uncultured Ruminococcus sp. Its description in RNAcentral is "bacterial SSU rRNA". It matches the Rfam family "Bacterial small subunit ribosomal RNA", at positions 21 to 358 of the family's 1533-position model. The record is from RNAcentral. Lineage: Bacteria; Bacillati; Bacillota; Clostridia; Eubacteriales; Oscillospiraceae.